Non-coding RNA from Trichobilharzia regenti, 45 nucleotides. The record is from Rfam. NCBI's taxonomy places the organism in Eukaryota, Metazoa, Platyhelminthes, Trematoda, Strigeidida, Schistosomatidae.
AUCCAGCUGACGACUCCUUAAUAGAAUGAAAUGUGCAUCCUGGAU